Molecule: ribosomal RNA, 441 nt
Filed under: uncultured bacterium
Lineage: Bacteria
Description: bacterial SSU rRNA
Rfam family: Bacterial small subunit ribosomal RNA
Source: RNAcentral
GACGAACGCUGGCGGCGUGCCUAAUACAUGCAAGUCGAACGCACUCUCGUUUAGAUUGAAGGAGCUUGCUCCUGAUUGAUAAACAUUUGAGUGAGUGGCGGACGGGUGAGUAACACGUGGGUAACCUGCCCUAAAGUGGGGGAUAACAUUUGGAAACAGAUGCUAAUACCGCAUAAAACCUAAACACCGCAUGGUGUAGGGUUGAAAGAUGGUUUCGGCUAUCACUUUAGGAUGGACCCGCGGUGCAUUAGUUAGUUGGUGAGGUAAAGGCUCACCAAGACCGUGAUGCAUAGCCGACCUGAGAGGGUAAUCGGCCACACUGGGUCUGAGACACGGCCCAGACUCCUACGGAGGCAGCAGUAGGGAAUCUUCCACAAUGGACGAAAGUCUGAUGGAGCAACGCCGCGUGAGUGAAGAAGGUUUUCGGAUCGUAAAACUCUA